This 626-nucleotide ribosomal RNA is filed under the name uncultured bacterium. RNAcentral's name for it is "bacterial SSU rRNA". It matches the Rfam family "Bacterial small subunit ribosomal RNA", at positions 249 to 885 of the family's 1533-position model. The record is from RNAcentral.
UUGGUGAGGUAAUGGCUCACCAAGGCGACGACGGGUAGCCGGCCUGAGAGGGCGACCGGCCACACUGGGACUGAGACACGGCCCAGACUCCUACGGGAGGCAGCAGUGGGGAAUAUUGCACAAUGGGCGAAAGCCUGAUGCAGCGACGCCGCGUGAGGGAUGACGGCCUUCGGGUUGUAAACCUCUUUCAGCAGGGAAGAAGCGAAAGUGACGGUACCUGCAGAAGAAGCGCCGGCUAACUACGUGCCAGCAGCCGCGGUAAUACGUAGGGCGCAAGCGUUGUCCGGAAUUAUUGGGCGUAAAGAGCUCGUAGGCGGCUUGUCACGUCGGGUGUGAAAGCCCGGGGCUUAACCCCGGGUCUGCAUUCGAUACGGGCAGGCUAGAGUGUGGUAGGGGAGAUCGGAAUUCCUGGUGUAGCGGUGAAAUGCGCAGAUAUCAGGAGGAACACCGGUGGCGAAGGCGGAUCUCUGGGCCAUUACUGACGCUGAGGAGCGAAAGCGUGGGGAGCGAACAGGAUUAGAUACCCUGGUAGUCCACGCCGUAAACGGUGGGAACUAGGUGUUGGCGACAUCCCACGUCGUCGGUGCCGCAGCUAACGCAUUAAGUUCCCCGCCUGGGGAGUACGG